This 1105-nucleotide long non-coding RNA is filed under the name Parus major (Great Tit). RNAcentral describes it as "lncRNA (ENSPMJG00000015978.1)". Lineage: Eukaryota; Metazoa; Chordata; Aves; Passeriformes; Paridae. The record is from RNAcentral.
CCUCAGCCCUGUGGGGAUGGGAUUUUGUGGAGCUCUUCCCAUAACUGCCCCCAAAGGCUUUCAAAUAAAGAUCCCCUUUUAUAUUAUAUUAACCCUGGGCUAAAAUGAUUUCCAGUGUCAUUUCCAGCAAGGAGCCCACGGGCACAGCUCCAGCUCCAGAGUGUCAGGGGCUCUGUCACAGCCCCAAAAAAUGACCCAGGAAGCCAAGUUGGAAAAGUUUCCAUGUUUUAAUGGCAAAGGGGGUUUGUACAACCAGGACCAAAGGGAAAACCCCCAGGUUAGUGCAGCACGGAGCAGAGGCCACAGCUGGGGACCCAAAGCUGGAGGCUCCAAGCACAGUCAGUGUUUCAGCCAGGAGAGCUGACCCCUCCCAAGCCAAAAUUCCCAGCCCAGGAAAGCUGGGGGUGGCACAGCAGGAUUCCAAAGCCUGAGUCCACCUCUGGUCCAGCCCCCACAAAUCCCACAGCUCGUGGCUGUUGUGUUGUGGGAAUGGAUGUAAAACCUACAAAUGUUACACUCCAGGGUUAAAUCCUGCCUGAAUUCUGGGAUAAUAACAGGAAAGCUGGAAAUCCAUCGUGGUCAGGGGGAGCUGCAGGUCUCAGCUGCUUUGGGAAAGGGUGGGAAGAGGGAUCUGAUCCUGCCUCAGUUCACUGGGGAGUUUUCCUGCUGGGCUCUGAGUGUUUCCACCUUCAUCCCUGGAACGUGUCCUGGGCACCGGGGAAUAACCCCAGACCUCGCGUGGUGAUGGAUAAAACUCCACAGAAACUCCGAGCAGGAGGGGCUGCCCUGACCUGCUCCAGUCCUGGGACAGGAUACUGGGUUUGCUCAUGGAAGGGAAGAAAUCCCCCUGAGCAGAUCCCAAAUCCCCAUAGCAGAUCCCAAAUCCCCCUAAACAGAUCCCAAAUCCCCCUGAACAGAUCCCAAAUCCCCCUGAACAGAUCCCAAAUCCCCCUGAACAGAUCCCAAAUCCCCCUAAACAGAUCCCAAAUCCCCCUAAACAGAUCCCAAAUCCUCCUGAACAGAUCCCAAAUCUUUCUGUGAGCAGAUCCCAAAUCCCCCUGAGCAGAUCCCAAAUCCCCCUAAACAGAUCCCAAAUCUUUCUGUG